UACAGAGGUCUCGAGCGUUAGGCAGAAUCACUGGGCUUAAAGCGUGUGUAGGCGGAUGCCUAAGUACCUUGUGAAAUCCCACAGCUUAACUGUGGAACUGCUUGGUAUACUGGGUGUCUUGAGCCACUCAGGGGCGAGCGGAACAAAUGGUGGAGCGGUGAAAUGCGUAGAUAUCAUUUGGAACGCCAAUGGUGAAAACAGCUCGCUGGGGGUGUGCUGACGCUGAGACACGAAAGCCAGGGGAGCGAACGGG
Molecule: ribosomal RNA, 253 nt
Filed under: uncultured bacterium
Lineage: Bacteria
Description: partial 16S ribosomal RNA
Rfam family: Bacterial small subunit ribosomal RNA
Source: RNAcentral